Molecule: ribosomal RNA, 279 nt
Filed under: uncultured bacterium
Lineage: Bacteria
Description: partial 16S ribosomal RNA
Rfam family: Bacterial small subunit ribosomal RNA
Source: RNAcentral
UGCCAGCAGCCGCGGUAAUACGGAGGAUCCAAGCGUUGUCCGGAUUUAUUGGGUUUAAAGGGUGCGUAGGCGGAAUAAUAAGUCAGUGGUGAAAGCCUGUAGCUCAACUACAGAACUGCCAUUGAAACUGUUAUUCUUGAGUUAGGUCGAGGUGGAUGGAAUGUAUCAUGUAGCGGUGAAAUGCUUAGAUAUGAUACAGAACACCGAUUGCGAAGGCAGUUCACUAGACCUACACUGACGCUGAGACGCGAAAGCGUGGGGAGCAAACAGGAUUAGAUA